CGCGCAGGCGGUUUUCCAAGUCAGUGGUGAAAGCCCAGAGCUCAACUCUGGAACUGCCAUUGAGACUGUUAAACUAGAGGACGAGAGAGGUGAGUGGAAUUCCCAGUGUAGAGGUGAAAUUCGUAGAUAUUGGGAAGAACACCGGUGGCGAAGGCGGCUCACUGGCUCGUUUCUGACGCUCAGGCGCGAUAGCGUGGGGAUCAAACA
This 207-nucleotide ribosomal RNA is filed under the name uncultured bacterium. RNAcentral describes it as "partial 16S ribosomal RNA". It matches the Rfam family "Bacterial small subunit ribosomal RNA", at positions 568 to 774 of the family's 1533-position model. The record is from RNAcentral.